GGCUCAGUAACACGUAGCUAACCUGCCCUCUCGUGGAGGAUACCGUCGGGAAACUGACGUUAAGACUCCAUAGAUGACGGAUACUGGAAUGUUCUGUCAUUCAAAGGUAACGCGAGAGGAUGGGGCUGCGGCCGAUUAGGUUGUUGGCGGGGUAAUGGCCCACCAAGCCGAAGAUCGGUACGGGCCUUUAGCGAGGAAGCCCGGAGAGGGAGUCUGAGACACUACUCCCAGCCCUACGGGGUGCAGCAGUCGGGAAACUUCUGCAAUGCGCGCAAGCGUGACAGAGCAAACCAACGUGUUAUUUUAUUUAAUAGAAUAUCUUUUGUGCGCUGUAAAAAGGCGUACGAAUAAGGACUGGGAGAGACUGGUGCCAGCCGCCGCGGUAAUCCCAGCAGUCCAAGUCGCAACCACAUUUGUUGGGUCUAAAACAUCCGUAGCGUGUUCUGUAAGUCGCCCGUGAAAUCCUGCCUCUUAAGGGUAGACGUGCGCGCGAUACUGCAGAACUUGGGACCGGGAGACGUAACGAGUACGCAGAGAGUAGCGGUAAAAUGUGUUGAUCCUCUGCGGACUACCACCAGCGAAGGCACGUUACGAGCACGGAUCCGACCGUGAGGGAUGAAGGCUAGGGGCGCAAAGUGGAUUAGAUACCCAUGUAGUCCUAGCAGUAAACACUGUACACU
This 680-nucleotide ribosomal RNA is filed under the name uncultured archaeon. RNAcentral describes it as "bacterial SSU rRNA". It matches the Rfam family "Archaeal small subunit ribosomal RNA", at positions 87 to 768 of the family's 1478-position model. The record is from RNAcentral.